This 497-nucleotide ribosomal RNA is filed under the name uncultured bacterium. RNAcentral's name for it is "partial 16S ribosomal RNA". It matches the Rfam family "Bacterial small subunit ribosomal RNA", at positions 28 to 507 of the family's 1533-position model. The record is from RNAcentral.
GAUGAACGCUGGCGGCGUGCCUAAUACAUGCAAGUCGAGCGAACGGACGAGAAGCUUGCUUCUCUGAUGUUAGCGGCGGACGGGUGAGUAACACGUGGAUAACCUACCUAUAAGGCUGGGAUAACUUCGGGAAACCGGAGCUAAUACCAGAUAAUAUUUUGAACCGCAUGGUUCAAAAGUGAAAGACGGUCUUGCUGUCACUUAUAGAUGGAUCCGCGCUGCAUUAGCUAGUUGGUAAGGUAACGGCUUACCAAGGCAACGAUGCAUAGCCGACCUGAGAGGGUGAUCGGCCACACUGGAACUGAGACACGGUCCAGACUCCUACGGGAGGCAGCAGUAGGGAAUCUUCCGCAAUGGGCGAAAGCCUGACGGAGCAACGCCGCGUGAGUGAUGAAGGUCUUCGGAUCGUAAAACUCUGUUAUUAGGGAAGAACAUAUGUGUAAGUAACUGUGCACAUCUUGACGGUACCUAAUCAGAAAGCCACGGCUAACUACGUG